AGUAUUGUCUCCCAUAACAUUCAUGAAAGUGGGCAUCCCGGACCCUGGUUUUUCACACAUUAUGAGCUUUAGGAGACAGGUAUA
Molecule: non-coding RNA, 84 nt
Organism: Bombyx mori (domestic silkworm)
Lineage: Eukaryota; Metazoa; Arthropoda; Insecta; Lepidoptera; Bombycidae
Source: RefSeq, marked provisional